RNAcentral lists this ribosomal RNA (229 nucleotides) under uncultured bacterium. Its description in RNAcentral is "partial 16S ribosomal RNA". It matches the Rfam family "Bacterial small subunit ribosomal RNA", at positions 568 to 796 of the family's 1533-position model. The record is from RNAcentral.
UGCGUAGGCGGAUAGAUAAGUCAGAGGUGAAAGCCUCCCGCUCAACGGGAGGACUGCCUUUGAUACUGUUUAUCUUGAAUGAGGUUGAGGUUAGCGGAAUGUGACAUGUAGCGGUGAAAUGCAUAGAUAUGUCAUAGAACACCAAUUGCGUAGGCAGCUAGCUAGGCCUUUAUUGACGCUGAGGCACGAAAGCAUGGGGAGCGAACAGGAUUAGAUACCCUGGUAGUCC